This 319-nucleotide ribosomal RNA is filed under the name uncultured eukaryote. RNAcentral describes it as "partial 18S ribosomal RNA". It matches the Rfam family "Eukaryotic small subunit ribosomal RNA", at positions 1470 to 1796 of the family's 1831-position model. The record is from RNAcentral.
CCCUUAGAUGUUCUGGGCAGCACGCGCGCUACAAUGGUCUUCGCAAACGGAUGCAUUCUCGAAGGAGAAUGCCAAUCUUGGAAUCUAUGCCUUGGUCGGGACAGUUGCUUGCAAUUUUUCGACUCGAACCAGGAAUUCCUUGUAAUCGUGAUUCAUCACAUCACGAUGAAUACGUCCCUGCCCUUUGUACACACCGCCCGUCGCUCCUCCCGAUCGAAGAGUUAGGUGAAUUGUUUUGAUCGAUAAGAUUUGACUAUGGUCAACUCUCGUUGUGAAAUUCUGUGAAUCUGACUGUUUAGAGGAAGGAAAAGUCGUAACA